This 65-nucleotide transfer RNA is filed under the name Blepharipa latigena. RNAcentral's name for it is "tRNA-Ile". Lineage: Eukaryota; Metazoa; Arthropoda; Insecta; Diptera; Tachinidae. The record is from RNAcentral.
AAUGAAUUGCCUGAAAAAGGAUUACCUUGAUAGGGUAAAUUAUAUAAUUGAAAUUAUAUUCAUUA